Molecule: ribosomal RNA, 306 nt
Filed under: uncultured bacterium
Lineage: Bacteria
Description: partial 16S ribosomal RNA
Rfam family: Bacterial small subunit ribosomal RNA
Source: RNAcentral
GACAGCAGUAGCCACGGUAAUACGAAGGGUGCAAGCGUUACUCGGAAUUACUGGGCGUAAAGCGUGCGUAGGUGGUGGUUUAAGUCCGUUGUGAAAGCCCUGGGCUCAACCUGGGAAUUGCAGUGGAUACUGGGUCACUAGAGUGUGGUAGAGGAUAGUGGAAUUUCCGGUGUAGCAGUGAAAUGCGUAGAGAUCGGAAGGAACAUCUGUGGCGAAGGCGACUAUCUGGGCCAACACUGACACUGAGGCACGAAAGCGUGGGGAGCAAACAGGAUUAGAUACCCGCGUAGUCCCUGUCUCUUAUAC